Molecule: ribosomal RNA, 550 nt
Filed under: uncultured bacterium
Lineage: Bacteria
Description: bacterial SSU rRNA
Rfam family: Bacterial small subunit ribosomal RNA
Source: RNAcentral
UGGGGAAUCUUCCGCAAUGGGCGCAAGCCUGACGGAGCAACGCCGCGUGAGUGAAGAAGGUCUUCGGAUCGUAAAGCUCUGUUGACGGGGACGAACGUGCCAGAGGUGAAUAAACUCUAGCAAUGACGGUACCUGUCGAGGAAGCCACGGCUAACUACGUGCCAGCAGCCGCGGUAAUACGUAGGUGGCGAGCGUUGUCCGGAAUCAUUGGGCGUAAAGGGAGCGCAGGCGGGCAUAUAAGUCUUUCUUAAAAGUGCGGGGCUCAACCCCGUGAUGGGAAAGAAACUAUAUGUCUUGAGUACAGGAGAGGAAAGCGGAAUUCCCAGUGUAGCGGUGAAAUGCGUAGAUAUUGGGAGGAACACCAGUGGCGAAGGCGGCUUUCUGGACUGCAACUGACGCUGAGGCUCGAAAGCCAGGGGAGCGAACGGGAUUAGAUACCCCGGUAGUCCUGGCCGUAAACGAUGGAUACUAGGUGUGGGAGGUAUCGACCCCUACCGUGCCGGAGUUAACGCAAUAAGUAUCCCGCCUGGGGAGUACGGUCGCAAGACUG